GCCCGGGUGGUGGAACGGUAGACACUGGGGACUUAAAAUCCCUUGCCCGCAAGGGCGUGCGGGUUCGAGUCCCGCCCCGGGCACCA
RNAcentral lists this transfer RNA (86 nucleotides) under Verrucomicrobiota bacterium JB024. RNAcentral describes it as "tRNA-Leu". It matches the Rfam family "tRNA". From Rfam's summary of the family: Transfer RNA (tRNA) molecules are approximately 80 nucleotides in length. Their secondary structure includes four short double-helical elements and three loops (D, anti-codon, and T loops). The record is from RNAcentral. Lineage: Bacteria; Pseudomonadati; Verrucomicrobiota.